This 1458-nucleotide ribosomal RNA is filed under the name Triticum aestivum (bread wheat). RNAcentral describes it as "partial small subunit ribosomal RNA". The record is from RNAcentral. Lineage: Eukaryota; Viridiplantae; Streptophyta; Magnoliopsida; Poales; Poaceae.
AUGUAUUCUAUCCUACCAUCUCUCAAGGACGCCCCAGCCCCCAAUACGAUCUGCCGCCGAGAUAUGAGUCGAUCCGCCGCCGCUGGCCAGGCUCUCCACGAUGUGCGCGCCAGGGCGCCGCUCCCGCUCUCGAGCAUAGCAGCAGCGGCGGAGCCCCGCCGCCGGCGAGCUCUCUCUGGCGGAGGAGGGCGGGGGCGAGCUCGCCGUCUCCCUCGCGCUCAAGAAUCUCUUCUCCCACGCCGUCGCCCGCUUCACGGCCUACUUCGGCCUCAUGCUCCUGCAUCGACCGGCUCUUCGGCGCGGAGGACGUCCAUCAGGCGGCGGGCGAGAUCUCCGGCCGGGAUGGGCCACUGCCUCCACCAUCACCGCCUCUUCGUUGCCGCCGCCGCCGACAUGUGCGAGGGAUGCCUGUCUUCUUCAAAGAACGAGAUGAAUGAAGGAUGCAGAGGAGACAGGCUCCAUGGCGUGUUCCUGCUGGCACACCUCCGAGCUAGCCGAUGCUUAGUAUACCGGUGUUCUGCUGCAUCCGUCAACUUGUUGGACAACUGUACACGUAUGUGUUUUUUCAAGCCCACUGAUUUUAGCCUCUCCGUCUCCUUCAAGCCGGUGAAUGAGAAGUUCAGGGAUAUUCCUGGGAGUGCCUAUUAUGUGGCUCCGGAGGUGCUGAAGCGGAUAUAUGGAGCCGAUAAUUGCAUAUGGAGUGCUGGAGUUAUACUCUACAUUCUGCUGUCUGGCAUUCCUCCUUUUUGGGCAGCAGGGCAGGUGCGUUCUCUGGCUGGUUAUGUCAAUCAAUUUUGGGGCUGUGAUGGAUGCAAAGACUGGAAGGAUGUCGUACUAACCUUAAUUCAACAUCUGGAAUGGCUUAUGAUGGCAUGGGGUUCCAUCAUUUCGGCUGCUUGCGGCGGGGAGUGUGGCCGGUGCUUGCGGCAGCAGCGAAGCAGCGUGCGUGAGCGCAGUGUAGGCAGUGGCCAAAGGCUCAUCGGCCGCUGCGAGUACGCCGUUGGCACCAGCCGGCAAGAAUCCAUUGAGUCUUCCUCUAUGUGUGCAACCUUGCCAGCAUGGGAAUCAAUCAAGGUAGGGGCAGCCAACGUCAAAUGGAUGGGGUUGAGGGCUGGGAGAAAGAUGUUGCAUUGCAAGAAGAAGUUGUAUUCUGAUGUGAUUGAAGAAUAUAGGAGGGACAAAGAGAUGUGCUAUUGCCAGGACAGUUAUGACUCUCUAUUAAGGAUAGAAAGGUUGUUGAUUGCUUCAAGAGUUAAUAACGAGGGACCUAGCGAGAAAUGUCCUGUUAAGACGGGAAUCCGAGCGCCCGUAGCAACGCACGGGUGUACUACUAAUAGAGAUAGUACCACACUGCUGGCUGAGCACGACGUGCACCUGCAUAUAUACGUACCACCAACCGUCCGUCACAGCUGCCGGGCGUGGUGGCGCACGCUUGUAACUCCAGCCUCGGAGGGCUAA